GUCUGCGGCCACGCCACCCUGACCGUGCCCGAUCCCGUCUGAUCUCAGAAGCUGAGCAGGGUCGGGCCUGGUAAAUACUUGGAUGGGAGACCGCCUAGGAAGACCCGGUGCUACAGGCU
Molecule: ribosomal RNA, 119 nt
Organism: Pteropus vampyrus (large flying fox)
Lineage: Eukaryota; Metazoa; Chordata; Mammalia; Chiroptera; Pteropodidae
Source: Ensembl